This 672-nucleotide ribosomal RNA is filed under the name Suillus brevipes. Its description in RNAcentral is "eukaryotic LSU rRNA". The stretch from base 218 to 372 matches the Rfam family "5.8S ribosomal RNA". The record is from RNAcentral. Lineage: Eukaryota; Fungi; Basidiomycota; Agaricomycetes; Boletales; Suillaceae.
AAGGAUCAUUAAUGAAAUUAUAAUCCGGCGAAGGGAAAAGGCGGGGAGUUGUAGCUGGCCCCAGGGCAUGUGUACGCUCUCUUCCGGACUUUCGCCGUAUGGGCGCGGGGCGACCGCGUCUUCAUAUACCUCUUCGUGUAGAAAGUCUUUGAAUGUUAUCAUCAUCAUCGAGUCGCGACUUCUAGGAGACGCGAUUCUUUGAGACAAAAGUUAUUACAACUUUCAGCAACGGAUCUCUUGGCUCUCGCAUCGAUGAAGAACGCAGCGAAUCGCGAUAUGUAAUGUGAAUUGCAGAUCUACAGUGAAUCAUCGAAUCUUUGAACGCACCUUGCGCUCCUCGGUGUUCCGAGGAGCAUGCCUGUUUGAGUGUCAGUAAAUUCUCAACCCCUCUCGAUUUGCUUCGACAGGGUGCUUGGAUGUUGGGGGCUGCCGGAGACACUGGACUCGUCCAGGACUCGGGCUCCUCUUAAAUGAAUCGGCUUGCGGUCGACUUUCGACUUUGCAUGACAAGGCCUUUGGCGUGAUAAUGAUCGCCGUUCGCCGAAGUGCAAGACAGAACGGUCCCGUGCCUCUAAUGCGUCGACGCCUCUCGGGGCCGUCUUCCUCAUUGACGUUUGACCUCAAAUCAGGUAGGACUACCCGCUGAACUUAAGCAUAUCAAUAAGCGGAGGA